RNAcentral lists this long non-coding RNA (3422 nucleotides) under Olea europaea subsp. europaea. The record is from RNAcentral. Lineage: Eukaryota; Viridiplantae; Streptophyta; Magnoliopsida; Lamiales; Oleaceae.
UUGAAACCGCCAAAAAAAAAAAAAAUUACAGAAAGUUAACACGUGAAGCCAAAGGGAGAAACCACCCAUUUCGACACUCAAUAAAGAGAAAAUCCUCCCCUCCUAGCUCGGCCGCGCCUCAGUUGGCCGGCAGCACUUCCACCGUCGGUCGUCGUCAUCAUUUCCGGCCACACUUCGAUCGCACCCAUUUUCCCCAAAUUAUGCACUUUCCAUCUCCACCAUUUCGACACUUAGACGGGAGAACGCAGCGAACGAAAAUCAAACAAAAGGUAAACAUUUCUUCUAUCGUUCAACAACAACAACAACUUCUUAGGUACUGUAUUCAUCACACUGUACAAAGAUGUAUCACUACGAUUCAAAAUAAGUGCCUGGUUCCUUUCUAGGUAGAAUUGUGUUUCUAUUUCCAAAGGUUGUACAAAAAUUAGAUGGCAUCUCAGAAUUCUUUUACUAGUGUUUAAUUGAAGAUGGUUUCUAGUUCAAAGCAUGCUUUUAUGGUGGAUGCAGAUUGGUUACAUUGUUUAAACAUCAUUUGAACUUUUCUUUGAGUAUAAUUUGAGGGUUUUCUGUACCCCUUCUUACCUUGAAGAAGCGGGAGAACCCAAUAAUGUCUUUUUGGCUAAUCUUGUCCUUUGAAUUUAGAGUUUAGAUGUAAAACCAGAAGGUAAAAGAGAGAAUAUAAACUUUGAUUCGUGAUUUAUUUACACACGACUGAAUUGCUUUACUUGCCAAUCAGAAUAGUAUAGCGUCAUGUAGAGGUGGUGACCUGAAUGGUAAUUGAACUAGAAAAAAAAUGGUUGAAAUUGGCUUCAAAGUUUGAUCAAUUAUGAAGGAAGAUAUUGAAGUUUUGUGCUUUUCGACAGUGCAAGAAACCCUCUCAUCUAUUUCUUUUUAAUGUCUUCUAGGUAGGACAAGAAGUCAAUUCGGCUAUACACGCAAGAUUGUAGAGGAGAGCUUUGUUCAUCACGUCUAAGUUAUGGUGCAGAACAUCUCCUGGGGUUUAAAACGACUAUUGUUUAACUAGAUGUUUAUUCUGCAAGUUAGAAGAUAAGUUAUAGAUGUUUCUAACAGAGUGUGAUUUUAUGGUGAAUGUAAGGUGCAAUGAGUUGACUCCUGAAAGAGUUCGCCUAGCCUAUUGAAGAAAAGAGGAAAUUUGGAAGAACGAAAUGAAAUUCUCGUUUAAUCAAUCUGAUUAUCAGUACAAUGGUGAGCUUAAAUAGAAUUGGUUAACUGAUUCUAACAAUCAACUAACUAACUAACUUGACAACUGUACACAACUAAUUUCUAGCUAAAUUUGGCGCCUAAAUCAUCUUGAGCUGAGCUGGUUGUUCUGUUGGCUGAUCUACUGAGCUGCCUGAUGCUCAUUUAUUCUAAUACAGCCCUCCAAAAUACACUUCAAGAACUGAAACUUGACUACCUUGAUCUCUAUUUGGUGUUUUUCUUAUACAUAUUUGUUUCCUUCAAAUAUGCUAUAAAGUUACCUGUUAAAGUGUCAUUUUCUCUAUUGAUAUGUAAGAUCCAUUGGCCAUUCCACUUGAAAGAUGAAGCCAAUAGACCUCCAAAAGUAGGGAACAUUUUGGAUUUCGACAUGGAAGGAGUUUGGGAGGAAAAUGGAGAAACUUGUGAAUGACAAUCUUGUUAGAGACAUUGGAGUUUGCAAUUUCACACUAAAGAAACUGCAUAAGUUACUAAGUGUUGCUAAGAUAAAGCCUUCUGUAUGCCAAGUCUGAAUUUUGGAUUCUACGUGAUCGUUUUUUAAUUGCAACGGAAAUCUCAUAUAAUAUAUUUUAUGUUGUUUUUUGUUUUUAGAUGGAGAUGCAUUUGGGAUGGAGGAAUGACAAAAUGGUGGAGGCCUGUAAGAAAAAUGGAAUCCAUGUUAUGGUAAUACAUGUCCAUACCAUAGUUUUGGACAUUGAGGAGUUAUUUAGUUUGGAGUUAAGAAAUAUUAUAUUGAUGAUAUGUCUUUUGCCUCCUGCAGAAACGAGUAUUGAAAAAGCUAACAGUGAUAGCUUGUUCGCGAACAAGCGAUAGGGACCUUACAUGAAUGUGGCUGAUACUUGGGACCACGAAGAUUAUGAUAUCGAUAGUCUAUAGUAACUGAGCAGCUAGCAAUGGUCAAUCUUGAAUCUUUAUGCACUGUUUGAUCUCUCAGGGCUUGUUUUAUCAGUUUAUGUAUAUUGUGUCAUAAUAGUACUUGUUCACAUCUGCAAUAGUUCGAUCUCUUAGGUUUGUUUUAUCAUUUUAUGUAUGUUCUUACUAUCAUAAUGGUACUUAUUCUCAUCUGCAAUAGAGUCUAUUUGACAUAGACAGUGUAGUCAAUUAUAUAUCCUACAAAUUUUAUUCCAAUCCUUCUUUUUGUAUCAAACAAUUUAAAAGGCAUAAACCAUUAUGAAAUGCCAAACAAAUUGUUUAAGAUCUAGUAAAAUUUAACUCUCUUUUCUAAAGCCAACUCCAAUUGAAACAUACAUAGGGCUACAAUUGCUCCAGGCUGAGGGAUUGAAGAGGCCACCACCAUUGAUGGACUAAAACUCCUCUUGCUAUAAGGGAAGUAUACAAAUCCAAGCAUUGCCCAUAUGUUUUAUGGUACUUGCUGUCCCUCUCACUGGGGCAGCAUUUCUGCUACCUAUUGUAAUGACAUUUAAGAAAGUUUUAAUCGAUGAAGCAUAUUGCUCCCAUCUCGAUCAACCUUGGAAUCGGAUCAAAUUCAGUCCUUCAACGUCCAUCUUCAUUACCAAAUAGUCACUCUCUGACACUAUAUUCUUCAACCAUUCUGCGAAAUCAAAUCCUUGAAUCUCACCCACAUCACCAAAGGAUGCAGAAUCACGCAAAGACUGAACUAGUCGAAUCGUCCCAAUCCCUCAGCCUUUUUCUGCAUUUUUACGAACUGGGCCUUGAGAAAAACCCGUAUUAAGAUACAAUAAAUCUAAGUUAAGCUAGUAACACAUCGGCAAAAGUAUACGGAAAUUGAGAUUUUUGGGUUAUUUUACGGACAUCAAGAAUAUUGGUAAUGACUUUUUACACACACUAUAGGAACUGCAGGCUCCAGGUUUGUGAACUAUACACCUUCACUAUGGAGAUUCAGUUGUUCAAACAAUAAUUUGUGUUUGUGGAUCUGUAAAUCUUUGCAUAGUGUGAUGAAUACUGUACCUAAGAAGUUGCUGUUGUUGAACGACAGAAGAAAUUUGCACCUUUUGUUUGAUUUUCCUUUGCCGUGCUUUCCCGUCUAAGUGUCCAAAUGGUGGAGAUGGAAAGUGCGUAAUUUGGGGCAAAUGGGUGCGAUCGAAGUGUGGCCGAAAAUGUUGACGGCCGAUGUUGGAAGUGCUGCCCUCCGACUGAGGCGACGGCCGAGCUUGGAGGGGAGGAUUUUCUCCUUAUUGAGUGUAAAUGGGUGCUUUCUCCCUUUGGCUUCACGUGUUAACUUUCUA